CGUAAUUUUAGUAAAUUUAGCUAAAUUUUUGCUAUAUUUAAAAUAUUACUUUUUCAUCUGAGCCACUCAAAUAUUUUCGCUGAUUUGCAGAUAAAACCGUCAUUUCAUAACCGUUAUUAAACGAUUUGCAGAUAAAACCGUUAUUCCGCCGAAAAGACGUUUUCGGGGGGGUGGUGUCACUCACCCUCCCUUAUAGCUUACGCAGAAUUGUGUUUUAAAGUCAACACAUAGAAAAAUACCAACCGUGGGAGAUCCUUUUAAGUCACAUUUGGGACUGGGAUUUGGUCUAAAAAAUUCUGGGAAAUGGGAUUCAGAGAGAAAAAUUGGCUAGCGAGUGAGAUAUAGGCACAGACCAACUGCAACGGGUCUACUAUAUACAUGGUGUCUAAAAAAAAACGCUAUGGAAAUUCAACAGGCUGUCGUGCAUCAUAAACGUGGCUAAACAAUUCAAUUUUACACAGGACAAAAGAACAGUUAUUUAGCUUUUCAAUG
Molecule: non-coding RNA, 492 nt
Organism: Paramuricea clavata
Lineage: Eukaryota; Metazoa; Cnidaria; Anthozoa; Malacalcyonacea; Plexauridae
Source: the annotation of a GenBank genome assembly